UCAUAAGAGCAAUGAAGUGCUAGUCAAAAAACUUAGGACUCGCCUUGCUAGUCUAUUUGAGUUGGUAGUUCGACCGUGAAAUUUCUUUGUUUCGGUAUUUGCGGAAUAUGAGUGUGUGACUUGUUAUAAUUGAUCCUAUUGAUAUACAGAAAAUGGAUCUGUCAUCUUGAUAAAGAUGAUUCUACCUCGUCGGAUAUUUAUAUUUAUUCUAGUUUCCGGAGCACGGAAUAUAUUUAAUAGAUCAAGAAAAGAAAUAUUUGAACUAUGAUUCAUACCCUACUAUUCAAACCUCGUAACCGGACUCUAAAAAAAUUUCAAAAGGCUAUUCUAUUUCCUAAAUCAAACCAUUUUUCUUCUUUGAGAACUAUGUGUUUUGACGGAAGUACAACUAUUUCUCUGGAUUUUGUUGAGUCAUUACAUCUUUUUCAUUAAAUAAAUGAUGAUCAAAUGGUUCUUACUCAGAGAACUUUUGAGCUUUGUUUUUGAACUUAUUGAUAAAUCAUCGUGGUUCUAGUAUGAAUCUGAGGUUUCAAUUGAUUUAUAGGGUCUCAACAAGAGAAUCCCUAUUCAGAAGUAAAACAAUAGUCAAUUUUUUGAUUACGCAAAAAACUCAAAUUAAAAUACUAAAUAGGGAAAAAGAAGAUUCAAGAGGCCUGUAAUAAUCAAUAUAAAAAAGAAAGACGGAUGAGCUAACUUGAUAUUUUUUGGCAUUAUCAUCACAAAGAACAGAUUACGGAUUUUUAUUUUUUGGGGGUAGAUUGAAUCUAUUGGCUAAGAAGUUUAAAUUUUCGAUUACAUAUCCGUUAAAAGAGUAUUUGUAUGUUUUUGCUUGAGCCGUAUGAGAUGAAAUUCUCAUAUACGGUUCUCAGUAGGGGGAGUUACCUUGGUUUACCUAUCUCAAUAAAGUCUAUGACUGGUUCGAAGAGCGUCUCGAGAUUCAGGCGAUUGCAGAUGAUAUAACUAGUAAAUAUGUUCCUCCUCACGUCAACAUAUUUUAUUGUCUAGGGGGGAUCACACUUACUUGUUUUUUAGUACAAGUAGCUACGGGUUUUGCUAUGACUUUUUACUAUCGACCAACUGUUACAGAGGCCUUUGCCUCUGUUCAAUACAUAAUGACUGAGGCGAACUUUGGUUGGUUAAUCCGAUCAGUUCAUCGAUGGUCAGCAAGUAUGAUGGUUCUAAUGAUGAUUUUACACGUAUUUCGUGUGUAUCUGACAGGCGGAUUUAAAAAACCUCGCGAAUUAACUUGGGUUACCGGUGUAGUUCUGGGUGUAUUGACUGCAUCUUUCGGUGUAACUGGUUAUUCCUUACCUUGGGACCAAAUUGGUUAUUGGGCAGUUAAAAUUGUGACAGGCGUACCUGAUGCCAUUCCGGUAAUAGGAUCACCCUUAGUAGAGUUAUUACGAGGAACUGCUAGUGUGGGUCAAUCCACUUUGACUCGUUUUUAUAGUUUACACACUUUUGUAUUACCUCUCCUUACUGCCGUAUUUAUGUUAAUGCACUUCUUAAUCAUACGUAAGCAA
RNAcentral lists this long non-coding RNA (1523 nucleotides) under Spirodela polyrhiza (greater duckweed). Lineage: Eukaryota; Viridiplantae; Streptophyta; Magnoliopsida; Alismatales; Araceae. The record is from RNAcentral.